GAGGGCGGUUACCUAGGCAAUAGCUUCCCCCUAACUCCGCCCCGCCCCCACCAGCCCAGCCAAUCCGAUUGCGGCUUUCAACAGCCGCCUGGGUUGGCUUCCCGCUGGCUCGUGCUGAGAGCGCAGUGUUCCUGGAAAUGGCUGGAUAAGUGCCAAGUCCAAUGUUGAGUAAUAGUCUUACAGCUAUUCUCUGACACCUGACCUGGCCACAACACUGUAAUUGUUUCCUGAGCAGAAACAAGAGGAUACUCGUGAACUAACAAUGCAUAAUGUUAGGUUUGGCAAAAUUGUAGCAGAAUGUUUGCUCCACUCCAAGAUUUUGGGAAGAAUGAGGAACUUCAAUCCCAACUCUCUCCAGUUAACCUAGCCACUGCUUUACCAAGAGAACUGAGAAGGGAAAAGGAACUGCUUUACCAGGAAAAGGCACUAACACACAAGAACAGAAUGCAAGAGACAUAAAGGAAACACCUAAAGGAAAACAUCAGUGUGCAAAAACAGGACAUUGCUAGAAACAAGGGGUGAACUAAUUAAAAAGGAGCCUGAAACAAAGGUUUUCCCCUUCAAAGGUGCUCUGCAAGUGAUUUUUAACUGAACAUGUUCCCUUUACUUCCUAUGAUACAUAAAGAACUUAGAAAACUGUUUCCUGUAUUAAAGAUUGUUCUGUUCAUUAUCUUAAAUGCCAGGAAUGUCAACUCUACUCUUCCCUAGUUUUGCUGCAAGAUCCACUUGUUAUCUCAAAGAAUAUACAUUGUUAACUCUUACUCCCUACCUUAACUGAUAGAAGAUGGUGAAUCUUUACUGUUUUGGAAAAAGAAUAUCAUUAGUGAUUCAAGUUAAAAAGGCGUUAACAAUAACAAAAAAAUUUAAACAGUCAUCAGACCUAUUUCCUGUUAUUUGUUUAAAUGUUAUUUCAAUCUUGGCCUACAUUUUCCAAACAUGGGUGCCUGAAGUUAGGUGCCAAAAACCAUAUUUAGGCUCCUAAAAUAAAAAGUGGUGAUAGGUACUACAGCUCCUAGUGACUUCAGUAUGUGAAGAGAGAAUAUUCAUGAAACCUACAGAAGAAUUCUGUGUAUGAGGUCAAAAUAUUGCAACACAUGGAAUAUUGCAACAGUUUGUAAUUGAUGUGAUAAAGAAGUAGCUGGAUAUGGGUAGGAGGCUAUUACAUCAAAUUCAACACAGAACACAGGCUAUAAACAAAAGAGAUCAUACUGGAUUAUUUCCUUCUGUAUAAUAAUUUUAAAACAA
Molecule: long non-coding RNA, 1245 nt
Organism: Mauremys mutica (yellowpond turtle)
Lineage: Eukaryota; Metazoa; Chordata; Testudines; Geoemydidae
Exons: 5
Source: RefSeq, a predicted model, not a curated record